AUGAAGAAAGAUGAGCCCCCUCCUACCCCCCGGCGUUACCGAGGGGAGCAGCCAACAUCUUCAUUUUGGGGAGGGAGAAGCCCGGCCGAGUGCUCGGGGACAGCAGGGGUGUCCCCUGUCCCCACAGCACGAUGCUCCCAGCCCCACGUCGCCCAGGGAUGGCUGCACAGCCGGCAGCACAUGGCACAGAGCAGCGAUUGUAGUCGGGUGACCUACAUUCCCUGGGAACGUGGGGCUCGGGGGGGCGGGGGGGGGACGCACUGCCAAGCGUGGCGGUGCCCGGGCACCUCGCGGCGUGCACGAGGUCUCCAUCCUUUCCUCCUUUCAGAGCCAGGAGCAGAGAGCACCCCCAUGAGCUCCCAAAGGCAGGGGGCCCACGAGAGGAUGUUUGGCCCUCACACGGCCAGGGCACAUCCCAGAUUCCCCCCCCCCCCCUUCCCUGCUCCUUUAGAAGCCCAACAUCUGGCACAGCACGGUGGGGGCUGGGAGGGGCCGGUGACAGCGCUGUCACCACCGGCGUGCCACCGAGGCUCUCGGCCAUGGGGUGCUGUCCCCUUCCUGCCCCACCACCUGUCACCACGCGUGUCCCCACGCCCCUCCUGCAGGAGCCACCUCCCUGCCCCCAGCGCUCCGCUAUCUCCAGGCACCAGAAGCCUCCCCUCCACUAUCAGGGGGGGCCCAGCGUCCGCCCCCCAGAACACACAGGGCUUGGCCACGCAGGGAAGCAGCACAGUGCAAACCACGUCCCCAUCCCUUGGCUCUCCCCCAGCACUGCUCCUCAGGACACAGCAGUGGCACGGGGGUCCCCUCUGUCCCCACGGUGGUCACCCGCACAGGAAGGCCCCCCCGGCCCCGCUCAGUGCCACUGCCAUGCACCCAUGGGACCGCUGCCAGCCGCCCCCCCGCAGCUCCCCCCACGGCGACCUUUGCCUCCGCCGUCCCCGGUGCCACCCUGACAACCCCGCCCCGGGGGCUGGACAUAACCCAAAAACACCACGUGGGGAUGGGGGUCCCCAAGAGCUGCAGCUCCCCGUGGGCAACCCUGGGCAGGGCAGNGGGGCUGCGAGCCAAGGGCUGCCCCCAUCUCCUCCCCCCCCCCCUCCCCACUCGCUGCCUCCUCCUCCUCCUUUCCUUCCUCUCCUCUUCCUCCUCCUCCCCGCGGCCCCGCUGCAAACAAACACGGAAGGCGCACAAAAGUCUUUGUCGGGCUCUUACCGGAGCGCUGCUGCCGUGCCCUGUGCCCCCCCCCGGCGUCAAUCCGCCAUCCACGCAGCCCCCCCCCGGCCGGCAGCAGUGGGGGGCACCGAGGAAUCUGCACAAAGAAAAGUUGUUGGGUCCGCGCUGGGGCCGCUCCAGGAGAUGGUUUCCCUUCCUGGCCCAACGCCGCCCCACGUCACGGCCGCUGCGCGCGUUAAAGGCGCACGGCACCAAAAUGCCGCGCGGGGAGGGCACGGGGAUGGCUUCAACCACAGAGCCAAACGCAGCCUCACAGCACGGGGCUCUGACCGCAGAUCCCAAAGGCAGACCCCAGACUGCGGGUCCCGGACCCAGACCUCAUGGCCAGAGCCCAGAUUCCAGAUCUCGUGUCCCAGAUAUCUCAAACCCAGGCCCCAAACCCAGAGGCAGGGCCCAAAUCCAGACCCAAGGCCCCAAGCGCAGAUCCCACAUCCCAGGCCCAGACCCCCGGCCCCAGACCCUGACCCAAGGCCACAGGCCCACANNNNNNNNNNNAUGCUCCAGACCCACACCCCAUACCCCAGGCCCCUACCUCAAGCCCCGCCCCCUUCGCUUAGGCCCCGCCCCCUCCGUUUAGGUCCCACCCUUCGCCGCCGGGAUUCAAACGCCCCCUGCCGCCCUCCGCCAUUGGCUGGCUCCGAAGUGACGUUUCAUCGUGUGAUUGGGUGCCGCGCCGCCGAGUGCGGGCGGGCUCCGAAAUCUCGGGCGCCGCGUUCAAAGUCUCGCGGGAGGCGCGGGGCACGCUGGGAGCGGUGGUGUGUUGGGGGGCGUUGCCGGGGCAACGGCGGCGUGUGGGGCCGGGGCUGCGGGUUCCGGGGGGGGUAUGGGGGUACGUGUGGGGCUGCGUUAAGGCCAAGGGACACGUGUGGGGGCAAACUGGGGGCAUUGGGACACGUAUCCAGUGGGGUGAGAGGAUGCGUGAGGCUCUGCUGA
This 2169-nucleotide long non-coding RNA is filed under the name Pavo cristatus (Indian peafowl). RNAcentral's name for it is "lncRNA (ENSPSTG00000001246.1)". The record is from RNAcentral. Lineage: Eukaryota; Metazoa; Chordata; Aves; Galliformes; Phasianidae.